Long non-coding RNA from Mytilus californianus (California mussel), 721 nucleotides. RefSeq lists it as uncharacterized. The record is from RefSeq and is a predicted model, not a curated record. The transcript has 3 exons. Lineage: Eukaryota; Metazoa; Mollusca; Bivalvia; Mytilida; Mytilidae.
UACGGUACGUUUCUUAACCUAUACUGUAUAUGAUUUUUUAUUAAAGCUUCACUGAACCGCGAAAUUGAUGAUGUUAUUGAUCUUUGAUACUGAUAGCAUGACUCUUCAGCCGACAAUAGAAUUUUGAACUUAAAACUUUUUGUUUUGUUUACAACACUGCAUUAUAUAAGAAGUCUUGGAUGAUGAGAUUUGUGUAACCCGUUGGUAUUUACAGUGCAGACAUGGAUACAGUUUUUAUGUAUCAUAUUGUAUUAUUAUUAAGAAGGUGUACUUUAUCCUUUUGAGGUUUGGUGUAUGAAUUCACUGAUGAUAAUCCCAUAUCUGCUUUAACCAAAACUAUUGAAGGAUUUAUUACAAUUAUAUAGGAAAGAGUUUGUUUCCGACAAGCUUUUUGAAAACAUAAAUGUGAAGUGAAUGUACAUGUGCAGCUUUGCAAUAAGUGAUAAAAAAAGACACAAAGAAUUUUAAUAAUAAAAAAAAAUCUAAAGAUGUUGAGAUUGUGCACACGCUGCUUACCACUGGACAUGAGAAAUUGUACAUAGUCACAAAAGGAUUGUAAAUUACUAAUAAGAGAGGAGAUAUUUAGUUGUGGUUAUGUAGACUGAUAAUUGAGUGAUAUAGAAUUAAAUGAUGACUUAUAGUUUUAUGGUCUAUUAAUUUUGAAUUGUGGUUAAAUGAUACCUGUAAUGAUAAUAAAAUAUUAAUUUAAUACAUCAUUAUA